AUGAAUAGGGAUUCCGCGGAGUGGCAGAGUGGCAUUAUGGAAUUUUUAGAUUUGGCUUUUGACGGUAGUCCUGGAAGAUCAAUCGCUUUAUGCCCAUGUAGAAGAUGUCUCAAUGCUAUUUACAAGGAAAGGGACGAAGUACACCUUGACAUGCUCAUGAAUGGGAUGGAUCCCAGUUAUACUUGCUGGAAAUACCAUGGAGAGGAUUCAGAUGACGAAAGUACAGCUGAAGGAUCUGAAGGUGAAGUGGUGAGAGGUGAUGACUUUGCAGUUCGUGAUUUGCUCAACACUCUCAUACGUAGCACCGAGCCAGAAAGUAGCAAAACCACAGGUGAAGGUACUAGUGAAGAGAUGUUGCAUGAUGGUAAUAUCCCAGAAGGGUCUGCAGAAGGUAGAAGUAACGAAGAGGCAGGUGGAUGUGCCAAGGCUUUCUUUGCUUUGUUGAAGGAUGUUGAAAAGGAGUUGUACCUUGGUUGCAAGGAGCUCACAAAGCUUUCUUUCAUUGUGAGACUCUACCAGAUAAAGUGCUUGUUUGGGUUGAGCAACAGGGCAUGUGAGGCAGUACUUCAAUUGUUCACAGAAGCGCUUCCAAAAGGUCAUUGUAUUCCAAAUUCUCUCGAGAAAGUUCAGAAGAUAAUCCGGGAUCUUGGGCUUGACUACCAAAAGAUACAUGCUUGCAUUAAUGAUUAUGUGCUAUUCCGGAAAGAGUAUGCUGACAUGGAUUACUGUCCGACCUGUAAGGAAUGUAGAUGGAAAGCUGCUGCCGCUGAUGAAUCAGAUGUCGAGAGGACAAACCAUAAAGGGAAGAAGCAAGUGGCUCGUAAAGUUCUAAGAUAUUUCCCACUCACUCCAUGGCUACAACGUCUAUUUAUGACCAAGGCUACAUCAUCAUAUAUGAGAUGGCAUAAGGACGACCGUGUGGAUGAUGGUAUAAUGCGGCACCCUGCAGAUUCUUUGGCAUGGAAGCAUUUUGAUAAUAUUUAUUCUAAAGGAUUCUCUUCGGAUGCACGAAAUGUAAGGCUUGGGCUUGCAUCUGAUGGGUUCAACCCAUAUGGGAUAAUGAAUGUGUCAUACUCUUGUUGA
Molecule: ribosomal RNA, 1083 nt
Filed under: Triticum aestivum (bread wheat)
Lineage: Eukaryota; Viridiplantae; Streptophyta; Magnoliopsida; Poales; Poaceae
Description: partial small subunit ribosomal RNA
Source: RNAcentral